Molecule: ribosomal RNA, 699 nt
Filed under: Triticum aestivum (bread wheat)
Lineage: Eukaryota; Viridiplantae; Streptophyta; Magnoliopsida; Poales; Poaceae
Description: partial small subunit ribosomal RNA
Source: RNAcentral
AUGGUAUGUCCUUCAGUUACGAACGUUUAUUAUGGCCCUUGCGACCACGCUAGAAAAUCUGAAUUUCUAGAUUCCCUCAUCUCUCUCUCAAAUCUUAUUAAUUGCCCGUGGACAACUAUGGGAGAUUUUAAUCUUGUUUUGAGACCCUCUGACAAAUCAUCGUCAAAUUUCAGCGGUAAUGAAGCCCAAAAAUUCUCAUCCGCGAUCAACAAUCUUCAGGAAAUCCCUCUGUUGGAUAGGCUCUUUACUUGGUCUAAUCAACAAGAUAACCCGACUCUCGUUCGGUUGGACAGAUCUUCUGUUAAUUUAGAUUGGACCUUGAUGUUCCCUGACUCAACUCUUUCGUCCCUCGUACGCACUACCUCCGAUCACGUUCCUAUUUUACUGGCAGCCUCCACAACUAUUCCCAAGCCCUUGAUUUUCCGGCUCAACAAUUGUUUGCUGACAAAUCAGUCCUUCCUUCAGCAAAUCGCUUCAACAAAUUGGGCAAGUGUUGGGCCCAACCAUCACUCCUUGGGCUCCUCGGGCCGCCUUUGCCUGAAGCUUAAACGCACUCGCAAUAUGGCUAACAUGUGGGCUGUCAACCCAAAAGCUCCUAGGCGGAUGGCUACAAAUUGUACGACGACUAUUUCUGUGAUGGACAAACUAGAAGAAGUUCGACCGCUCUCUUCUCUUGAGCUUACUCUGCCACCGCCAUAA